Molecule: ribosomal RNA, 253 nt
Filed under: uncultured prokaryote
Description: partial 16S ribosomal RNA
Rfam family: Bacterial small subunit ribosomal RNA
Source: RNAcentral
ACAGAGGUCUCAAGCGUUGUUCGGAUUCAUUGGGCGUAAAGCGCGCGCAGGCGGUCAUCUACGUCUGGGGUGAAAGCCCGGAGCUCAACUCCGGGAUUGCCUUGGAUACGGGAUGACUUGAGGAUCGGAGAGGCAAGGGGAAUUCCACGUGUAGCGGUGAAAUGCGUAGAGAUGUGGAGGAACACCUGUGGCGAAGGCGCCUUGCUGGCCGAUUUCUGACGCUGAGGCGCGAAAGCGUGGGGAGCAAACAGGA